AGCAGAGUGGCUCAGUGGAAAGAGCACUGGCUUGGGACUCAGAAGUCGUGGGUUCUAAUCCCAUCUCAGCCC
This 72-nucleotide transfer RNA is filed under the name Ornithorhynchus anatinus (platypus). It matches the Rfam family "tRNA". From Rfam's summary of the family: Transfer RNA (tRNA) molecules are approximately 80 nucleotides in length. Lineage: Eukaryota; Metazoa; Chordata; Mammalia; Monotremata; Ornithorhynchidae. The record is from Rfam by way of RNAcentral.